RNAcentral lists this ribosomal RNA (433 nucleotides) under uncultured bacterium. RNAcentral describes it as "partial 16S ribosomal RNA". It matches the Rfam family "Bacterial small subunit ribosomal RNA", at positions 29 to 507 of the family's 1533-position model. The record is from RNAcentral.
AGCGAACGCUGGCGGCAGGCCUAACACAUGCAAGUCGAACGAACUCUUCGGAGUUAGUGGCGGACGGGUGAGUAACACGUGGGAACGUGCCUUUUGGUUCGGAAUAACUCAGGGAAACUUGUGCUAAUACCGAAUGUGCCCUUCGGGGGAAAGAUUUAUCCCCAUUAGAGCGGCCCGCGUCUGAUUAGCUAGUUGGUGAGGUAACGGCUCACCAAGGCGGCGAUCAGUAGCUGGUCUGAGAGGAUGACCAGCCACACUGGGACUGAGACACGGCCCAGACUCCUACGGGAGGCAGCAGUGGGGAAUCUUGCGCAAUGGGCGAAAGCCUGACGCAGCCAUGCCGCGUGAAUGAUGAAGGUCUUAGGAUUGUAAAAUUCUUUCACCGGGGACGAUAAUGACGGUACCCGGAGAAGAAGCCCCGGCUAACUUCGUG